RNAcentral lists this ribosomal RNA (857 nucleotides) under uncultured bacterium. Its description in RNAcentral is "SSU rRNA". It matches the Rfam family "Bacterial small subunit ribosomal RNA", at positions 524 to 1381 of the family's 1533-position model. The record is from RNAcentral.
UACGGGAGUGGCAAGCGUUAUCCGGAAUUAUUGGGCGUAAAGCGUCCGCAGGCGGUCUUGUAAGUCUGUUGUUAAAGCGUGGAGCUUAACUCCAUUUCAGCAAUGGAAACUGUAAGACUAGAGUGUGGUAGGGGCAGAGGGAAUUCCCGGUGUAGCGGUGAAAUGCGUAGAUAUCGGGAAGAACACCAGUGGCGAAGGCGCUCUGCUGGGCCAUAACUGACGCUCAUGGACGAAAGCCAGGGGAGCGAAAGGGAUUAGAUACCCCUGUAGUCCUGGCCGUAAACGAUGAACACUGGGUGUCGGGGGAAUCGACCCCCUCGGUGUCGUAGCCAACGCGUUAAGUGUUCCGCCUGGGGAGUACGCACGCAAGUGUGAAACUCAAAGGAAUUGACGGGGGCCCGCACAAGCGGUGGAGUAUGUGGUUUAAUUCGAUGCAACGCGAAGAACCUUACCAGGGUUUGACAUCCUGCGAAUCUUUUGGAAACAGAAGAGUGCCUUCGGGAACGCAGUGACAGGUGGUGCAUGGCUGUCGUCAGCUCGUGUCGUGAGAUGUUGGGUUAAGUCCCGCAACGAGCGCAACCCACGUCGUUAGUUGCCAGCAUUUAGUUGGGCACUCUAGCGAGACCGCCGGUGAUAAACCGGAGGAAGGUGUGGAUGACGUCAAAUCAUCAUGCCCCUUACAUCCUGGGCUACACACGUACUACAAUGCUACGGACAAAGGGCAGCAAACUCGCGAGAGCUAGCAAAUCCCAUAAACCGUGGUUCAGUUCAGAUCGUAGGCUGCAACUCGCCUACGUGAAGGAGGAAUCGCUAGUAAUCGCAGGUCAGCAUACUGCGGUGAAUACGUUCCCGGGCCU